GACCAGACUCCUACGGGAGGCAGCAGUGAGGAAUAUUGGUCAAUGGGCGGGAGCCUGAACCAGCCAAGCCGCGUGAGGGAAGAAGGUACAGCGUAUCGUAAACCUCUUUUGUCAGGGAACAAAGGCGGGGACUAGUCCCCGGAUGAGGGUACCUGAAGAAAAAGCAUCGGCUAACUCCGUGCCAGCAGCCGCGGUAAUACGGAGGAUGCGAGCGUUAUCCGGAUUUAUUGGGUUUAAAGGGUGCGCAGGCGGCUGGUAAGGCAGGGGGAAAAAGCCGGGGGCCAACCCCGGGCGAGCCGUUGAAACUGGCGGGCUGGAGUUGGAGAGAAGUACGCGGAAUGCGCGGUGUAGCGGUGAAAUGCUUAGAUAUCACGCAGAACUCCGAUUGCGAAGGCAGCGUACCGGCGCCCAACUGACGCUGAAGCACGAAGGCGUGGGUAUCGAACAGGAUUAGAUACCCCAGUA
This 465-nucleotide ribosomal RNA is filed under the name uncultured bacterium. RNAcentral's name for it is "bacterial SSU rRNA". It matches the Rfam family "Bacterial small subunit ribosomal RNA", at positions 329 to 792 of the family's 1533-position model. The record is from RNAcentral.